UAGGUGGCAAGCGUAUCCGGAAUUAUUGGGCGUAAAGCGCGCGCAGGUGGUUUCUUAAGUCUGAUGUGAAAGCCCACGCCUCAACCGGGGAGGGUCAUUGGAAACCUGGGAGACUGGAGUGCAGAAGAGGAAAGUGGAAUUCCAUGUGUAGCGGUGAAAUGCGUAGAGAUAUGGAGGAACACCAGUGGCGAAGGCGACUUUCUGGUCUGUAACUGACACUGAGGCGCGAAAGCGUGGGGAGCAACCAGGAUUAGAUACCCUGGUAGUCCACGCCGUAAACGAUGAGUGUUAAGUGUUAGAGGGUUUCCGCCCUUUAGUGCUGAAGUUAACGCAUUAAGCAUUCCGCCUGGGGAGUACGGCCGCAAGGCUGAAAUUCAAAGGAAUUGACGGGGGCCCGCCCAAGCGGUGGAGCAUGUGGUUUAAUUGGAAGCAACGGGAAGACCCUUACCAGGUCUUGACAUCUUCUGCCAACCCUAGAGAUAGGGUUUUUCUUUCGGGAGCAGAGUGACAGGUGGUGCAUGGUUGUCGUCAGCUCGUGUCGUGAGAUGUUGGGUUAAGUCCCGCAACGAGCGCAACCCUUGUUUUUAGUUGCCAUCAUUAAGUUGGCCAUUUUAAGGUGACUGCCGGUGCCAAACCGGAGGAAGGUGGGGAGGACGUCAAAUCAUCAUGCCCCUUAUGACUUGGGUUACACACGUGUUCCAAUGGACGGUACAAAGAGCUGCAAGACCGGGAGGUGGAGUUAAUUUCAUAAAACCGUUUUCAGUUCGGAUUGUAGGCUGCAAUUCGCUUCCAGGAAGCUGGAAUCGUUAGUAAUCGCGGAUCAGCAUGCCGCGGUGAAUACGUUCCCGGCCCUUGUACACACCGCCCGUCACACCACGAGA
RNAcentral lists this ribosomal RNA (881 nucleotides) under Bacillus anthracis (anthrax bacterium). RNAcentral's name for it is "bacterial SSU rRNA". It matches the Rfam family "Bacterial small subunit ribosomal RNA", at positions 528 to 1409 of the family's 1533-position model. Lineage: Bacteria; Bacillati; Bacillota; Bacilli; Caryophanales; Bacillaceae. The record is from RNAcentral.